GUGGUGGGAAUGAGCUUCAGAUACUCUUCCAUGGCAGGCCCUUGAUUUUUGAGGGUGAUCGAAGAAGAGGGAAUAAUCAGUUGAUGAAAUACGGCAAUUUUCUUUUCCACACGCUUAGUGCUUAUUCUNNNNNNNNNNNNUAGGCAGAUGCCUUAACUCCUGCAGACUUGAGUCUAAUCAGAGGUGUACCUGUGGAUUUUUAUGUGAUCUUAUAGCUCCUGAAAUUAGAAUUGGAAUAGGAUUAGGAUUAGGAAUUGGAAUUGGAAUUAGAAUGGGCAUUGGUAUUGGGUUGAUGAAUUUAAUUUUAUUAAUUUUUUUGACAUGGACAUAUAUAUCCACCGCUGAAGGAAGCAAAGCGAAGGCAGCUCAGCUAAACUCUCGGUGCACCGUGCCUGGAACUUGUUGAGCACUUCGAUGGAGAUUAAAAUUCAAGUGAUGGAGACCUUUCAAGAGAAGAGUAAUGGCAAUC
RNAcentral lists this unclassified non-coding RNA (469 nucleotides) under Hevea brasiliensis (rubber tree). Lineage: Eukaryota; Viridiplantae; Streptophyta; Magnoliopsida; Malpighiales; Euphorbiaceae. The record is from RNAcentral.